Long non-coding RNA from Canis lupus familiaris (dog), 1619 nucleotides. RefSeq lists it as uncharacterized. The record is from RefSeq and is a predicted model, not a curated record. The transcript has 2 exons. NCBI's taxonomy places the organism in Eukaryota, Metazoa, Chordata, Mammalia, Carnivora, Canidae.
GACCAUUGUCCUGGGAGGGUGGGCCCCCUCAUCUGCCCGUGCCGCGGGGAUGCUUGGCAGGGCGGGGACGGCCAAGGCAAUCACCGAGAGGAGGAAGCCUCCAGGUUCCUAGAGGAGAUCCACGGUGCAGCCGGAAGUGCGAGGGCCGGGACCCGGGCGCGCUUGUGCAGGAGGAGAGGAGGCACGCUGGGGUGGGAGUGUGUCCGACAAUGGAGAGCUGCGUGGGAGGGUCAAGGAUGGCUUCCGAGUUGUGAGCUGUAUUAGGGAAGAAGAAGACUACAAGGAAAUACUUCUGAAGAACCAGUGUGAACUCGAGGCUGGAGUGAAUCUUCUCUUGAGCGCUCUCCUCCCAGAAUGGCGGUGCCUCCUGUGCAAAGGUCCCUACUAGUGACUGAUGGCAGAGGGAGAGGGCUAUGCCUGGGAUCGUGCUGGCAGAGAAAUCAUGGGCAUUCCUUCAGACUUGAAGUUGCUACUACCAAGAGGCAGCUACCUGGGCUCCAAGGGCUGUCAGAAGACUCCGAGCUUUGCCUACAGUUGCUGAGAUAAGAAACAGACCAAGGAGCAAGUGCUGAAGCAGAUCCUGACACCUACUGGCGAGCUGCAGACUCAGGAAGUGAUAAUAUCCAGAAUGUGGAGAAGAGACAUCGCUGAUGCUGGAGAAGUUGGAGACAGCUUGGAGGAAAAGCCAUCAGGUGGGAAGGGUUAGGAUAAUCACUUAUGUUAUGGCUUGACUAGUGAAAGUCUUCUGGAAUAGUACAGAAAACGGUAAAACUGAACUCUAGGAUCCACUACAUGUCUUUGAGCCAAACCCAGCACCUACCUCAUGGACUUUAAUUCCCCCUUGGUAUUCGUGUGCACCUCUGGAAACUUUUUUGAAAUUGGGUGGUGGUGGUUUGGGCAAUUUUACCAGAAAGUUUAGCUUCAAAUUCAGUUUUGCAAGACCAGCUUCAUCCCAUUUCCUUUAGGGUCUAGGCUAAAGGAUAGAACAAGAUACACUUGUGGCAGAGAUAGUACUUUGGAAUCCAAAGUGUCAAGUGCAGCCUGUUAAGAUCUUGUCUUAGUUUGACUUUGAGCAUUAUUGCCUUUUGAAAUGGAAAGCAGUGUCUUCAGAGAAAGAAGAGAUCCUUGAAGAAAGUUUCUUAGAAUUCUCAUUAGUAAUGCCCUUUCCCUUGAAAACUUGGCCUCAAAAAAAAAAAAAAAAAAGGAAAACUUGGCCUCUACCCAUCUCCUCAUUAUCUGCCCAAUUCUUGAGGUAGAAACUCCAAGCCAUUAUUGUGAGGGGUUUUGUUUAGUUUGUUUUGACCUAUUCAACUCCUUGAACUUCAAAGUGCGGCUUUCUUCUUAUGAUUUAGUCCUGAACAUUGCUGGAAAAGUUAUUUUCCCCACUUAAAUUUUUCCCUUUCAAAACAGUAUGUAUUUUGGGGUGCGUUGGUAGUGCAGCUGAUUAAGUGACUGACUCAUGAUUUCGACUCAGGUCAUGAUCUCAGGAUUGUGAGAUCCAGCCCACAUUAGCACCCCCAUUUAGUGCCGAGUCCGUUUAAUAUUCCCUCUUCCUUUGCCCCCCUUAUGCUUGUAUGCACUUUCUCUCUGAAAUAAAGAAACAGAUCUUUUAAAAAAUA